Molecule: long non-coding RNA, 904 nt
Organism: Xiphophorus couchianus (Monterrey platyfish)
Lineage: Eukaryota; Metazoa; Chordata; Actinopteri; Cyprinodontiformes; Poeciliidae
Exons: 3
Source: RefSeq, a predicted model, not a curated record
GCAACAGGGAAAGAAGAAAGAUGUGGAUUAGUUUUAGAGCAUUUUAAAAUGCUUUCAUAACAAGGAGACAGUUACAAAGGCUGAAAGGUAGAAAUGACCACAGUUGCAGCAUUUAUCCCUGAAAAAAAACAGAAGAGUUCUUCACAUGCUUCACGGUAGAAACAUUUGUCCCACAUUGCUCACCGUAAAACCAAAAAUCAAUACAGAUGUUGGUAAUCUUAUCUCUGGGAUGACAGGUGUGAAUCAAAAUGCGGCACCAUGACACAAAGUGGAACAUCGGGUCACCCAACCCAGGGCUGCAUUCUUUAUUAUAACAAAGUCGUUGUUUUCUGUAUGAAAAUAUACCAGCAAUACGUCUGCAUUUUAUAUCUGGAAGUUCAAGACAAACUGGUUCUACAAAGUACAUUUUAUUCUUCUCUAUUAUACAUAGUGAAACAUAACUUAAACCCGAUAUGAUUGGCUGCUAUGCAAAACAGAGAAGGUAUAAAUAAGCAGGAAAAGGCCUGAAAGAAACACCAACACUGUGGAGCUACCUCAAGCACUGGGAAACUACUGAUACAGCUAUUAGUCUGUUUUUCUUCACCACAAAUUACUUUGAAACAUAAACAGUAAAAGAUGGCCGAACAGAUGCCUAAAAAAUUCAAGGUUUUUGGAAAAUCAUCAUGGUCCAAAAAAAAGGAACGGAAAAACCAAAUGAAAAAGGACCCAGAGAUGCUGUUUGUCACUCUCAGGAAAGGAGAAGAAGACAAAUACAUGUUUUACACUGAGUCUGUAGACAAAUGGCGCAACACUAUACAAGAAGCCUUCUCCGAUCCAACUGUUGUUUGCUAUACAUGGGAAACAGAAGCAGGCACCAUUAUGUUAUGUCCUACAACUGGAGUAUGUGUGAUUCAAGGCAAAAAAA